Molecule: long non-coding RNA, 128 nt
Organism: Sander lucioperca (pikeperch)
Lineage: Eukaryota; Metazoa; Chordata; Actinopteri; Perciformes; Percidae
Exons: 3
Source: RefSeq, a predicted model, not a curated record
CCUUUCCUUUAUUGUGUUGUAAAACACUAUUCACAAACUUCUCCAAACAGCUGUAUUGUAGUCCAGCCUUUACUUCCGUGACGAACGUGCGUCACUUUGUAACACGCUUGUAGUUAGAAAGCGUGGCA